AGAGUUUGAUCCUGGCUCAGGAUGAACGCUAGCGGCAGGCCUAAUACAUGCAAGUCGAACGAUACCAGAGAGCUUGCUUUCUGGGAAAGUGGCGCACGGGUGCGUAACGCGUAUGCAACCUACCUUAAUCAGGGGGAUAGCCUCUCGAAAGAGAGAUUAACACCGCAUAAAAUCACAAGCUGGCAUCAGCAAAUGAUCAAAUAUUUAUAGGAUUAAGAUGGGCAUGCGUGACAUUAGUUUGUUGGUGAGGUAACGGCUCACCAAGACUACGAUGUCUAGGGGAUCUGAGAGGAUGACCCCCCACACUGGUACUGAGACACGGACCAGACUCCUACGGGAGGCAGCAGUAAGGAAUAUUGGUCAAUGGAGGCAACUCUGAACCAGCCAUGCCGCGUGCAGGAAGACGGCCCUACGGGUUGUAAACUGCUUUUAUACGGGAAUAAACCCCUUUACGUGUAGAGGGUUGAAUGUACUGUAAGAAUAAGGAUCGGCUAACUCCGUGCCAGCAGCCGCGGUAAUACGGAGGAUCCAAGCGUUAUCCGGAUUUAUUGGGUUUAAAGGGUGCGUAGGCGGCCUAUUAAGUCAGGGGUGAAAGACGGUGGCUCAACCAUCGCAGUGCCUUUGAUACUGAUGGGCUUGAUUACACUUGAGGUAGGCGGAAUGUGACAAGUAGCGGUGAAAUGCAUAGAUAUGUCACAGAACACCAAUUGCGAAGGCAGCUUACUAAGGUGUCAAUGACGCUGAGGCACGAAAGCGUGGGGAUCAAACAGGAUUAGAUACCCUGGUAGUCC
This 791-nucleotide ribosomal RNA is filed under the name uncultured bacterium. Its description in RNAcentral is "bacterial SSU rRNA". It matches the Rfam family "Bacterial small subunit ribosomal RNA", at positions 8 to 796 of the family's 1533-position model. The record is from RNAcentral.